GCCUUCGUAGUGUAAUGGUUAGCAUACUUGACGCGCAUUCAAGAGAUCCAAGUUCGAGUCUUGGCGAGGGCA
This 72-nucleotide transfer RNA is filed under the name Stegodyphus mimosarum. Its description in RNAcentral is "tRNA-Ala for anticodon CGC". It matches the Rfam family "tRNA". Rfam says of the family: Transfer RNA (tRNA) molecules are approximately 80 nucleotides in length. Their secondary structure includes four short double-helical elements and three loops (D, anti-codon, and T loops). Further hydrogen bonds mediate the characteristic L-shaped molecular structure. tRNAs have two regions of fundamental functional importance: the anti-codon, which is responsible for specific mRNA codon recognition, and the 3' end, to which the tRNAs corresponding amino acid is attached (by aminoacyl-tRNA synthetases). tRNAs cope with the degeneracy of the genetic code in two manners: having more than one tRNA (with a specific anti-codon) for a particular amino acid; and 'wobble' base-pairing, i.e. permitting non-standard base-pairing at the 3rd anti-codon position. Lineage: Eukaryota; Metazoa; Arthropoda; Arachnida; Araneae; Eresidae. The record is from Rfam by way of RNAcentral.